UUGGAGGGCAAGUCUGGUGCCAGCAGCCGCGGUAAUUCCAGCUCCAAUAGCGUAUAUUAAAGUUGUUGCAGUUAAAAAGCUCGUAGUUGAACCUUGGGUCUGGCUGGCCGGUCCGCCUCACGGCGUGCACUGGUCCGGCUGGACCUUUCCUUCUGGGGAACCCUAUGGCCUUCACUGGCUGUAGGGGGAACCAGGACUUUUACUGUGAAAAAAUUAGAGUGUUCAAAGCAGGCCUUUGCUCGGAUACAUUAGCAUGGAAUAAUAGAAUAGGACGUGUGGUUCUAUUUUGUUGGUUUCUA
RNAcentral lists this ribosomal RNA (299 nucleotides) under fungal sp. RNAcentral's name for it is "partial 18S ribosomal RNA". It matches the Rfam family "Eukaryotic small subunit ribosomal RNA", at positions 548 to 853 of the family's 1831-position model. Lineage: Eukaryota; Fungi. The record is from RNAcentral.